This 465-nucleotide ribosomal RNA is filed under the name uncultured bacterium. Its description in RNAcentral is "partial 16S ribosomal RNA". It matches the Rfam family "Bacterial small subunit ribosomal RNA", at positions 338 to 795 of the family's 1533-position model. The record is from RNAcentral.
UCUACGGGAGGCAGCAGUGGGGAAUAUUGUGCAAUGGGCGAAAGCCUGACGCAGCGACGCCGCGUGAGGGAUGACGGUCUUCGGAUCGUAAACCUCUGUCAGCAGGGAAGAACGGUCACUGUGCUAAUCAGCAGUGAAUUGACGGUAACUGCAAAGGAAGCACCGGCUAACUCCGUGCCAACAGCCGCUGUAAUACGGGGGGUGCGAGCGUUAAUCGGAAUGGCUGGGCGUAAAGCGCUCGUAGGCGGUAUGUCAAGUCAAGGGUGAAAUCCCCGCGCCCAACGUGGGAACUGCCUUUGAAACUGGAAAACUGGAGUGGGUGAGAGGAUAGUGGAAUUCCAGGUGUAGCGGUGAAAUGCUUAGAUAUCACGCAGAACCCCGAUUGCGAAGGCAGCUUACUAACCUGUGACUGACAUUGAUGCUCGAAAGUGUGGGUAUCAAACAGGAUUAGAUACCCGAGUAGUC